CACCGCGGUUAGACGAGGGACUCAAGUUGUUAAGUAUCGGCGUAAAGCGUGGUUAAGACAGCUCAAACACUAAAGCCGAACGCCUUCUCUACUGUUAUACGUUCCCGAAGGUAAGAAGCCCACUCACGAAAGUAGCUUUAUUUCAUCUGACCCCACGAAAGCUAGGGCA
This 169-nucleotide ribosomal RNA is filed under the name Chaetodontoplus chrysocephalus. Its description in RNAcentral is "partial 12S ribosomal RNA". Lineage: Eukaryota; Metazoa; Chordata; Actinopteri; Pomacanthidae. The record is from RNAcentral.